RNAcentral lists this ribosomal RNA (354 nucleotides) under uncultured bacterium. RNAcentral's name for it is "partial 16S ribosomal RNA". It matches the Rfam family "Bacterial small subunit ribosomal RNA", at positions 338 to 709 of the family's 1533-position model. The record is from RNAcentral.
CCUACGGGUGGCUGCAGUAGGGAAUAUUGCUCAAUGGGGGAAACCCUGAAGCAGCAACGCCGCGUGGAGGAUGAAGGUUUUCGGAUUGUAAACUUCUUUUGUUAGAGAAGAUAAUGACGGUAUCUAACGAAUAAGCCCCGGCUAACUCCGUGCCAGCAGCCGCGGUAAUACGGAGGGUGCAAGCGUUACUCGGAAUCACUGGGCGUAAAGAGCGCGUAGGCGGGGGAGCAAGUCAGAUGUGAAAUCCUAUGGCUGAACCAUAGAACUGCAUUUGACACUGUUAUACUGGAGUAUGGGAGAGGUAGGUGGAAUUCUUGGGGUAGGGGUAAAAUGCGUAGAGAUCAAGAGGAAUAC